This is a long non-coding RNA of Halichondria panicea, 507 nucleotides long. RefSeq lists it as uncharacterized. The record is from RefSeq and is a predicted model, not a curated record. The transcript has 3 exons. NCBI's taxonomy places the organism in Eukaryota, Metazoa, Porifera, Demospongiae, Suberitida, Halichondriidae.
GAAAUUGCUAUAACAUCACUACCACAUUGUCUUAUUAGUGCACACUAUCAAGAGUAAGAUCGACCACGAAAGACAUUCAGGUUCACUUCAAAGGAAAACUUGUUGAGCCAAGACACCAGAGAGAGAGAGAGAGAGAGAGAGAGAGAGAGAGAGAGAGAGAGCGAGCGCUAAACACAUACACAGACUGAGUCAACUAUGGACUGUGUUCUUUUGCUGGCAAUUAUGCUCUGUGCUUCGUUUUCAACGCUCUUUCUGUAUGUCCUGUAUAAAGUACUCGACAAAGUGUUGACUGACAACAACUGUACAUUCCCCUUGUGCCCAUGCUACCAACCUCCUGAUGAUCAUCACGAUGAUGACUCUAACACGGCCUACCAAACAGGGCCUUACAGACAAGCCAAAGAGAAGCCUGACUGAUAGUACAAUACAAUGCAAAGGCAAAAGCAAAACUGCUAAACAAUUAUACAGGGAAACGAUUGCGUGUAAUUAUAAGCUGCACUAAUAAAAGAU